Molecule: ribosomal RNA, 409 nt
Filed under: uncultured bacterium
Lineage: Bacteria
Description: bacterial SSU rRNA
Rfam family: Bacterial small subunit ribosomal RNA
Source: RNAcentral
AGCGAACGUUAGCGGCGGGCCUAACACAUGCAAGUCGAGCGAGAAAGUGGCUUCGGCCAUCAGUAAAGCGGCGGACGGGUGAGUAACACGUAGGUAAUCUUCCCUUGAGCGGGGGACAACGUUUCGAAAGGAACGCUAAUACCGCAUACGUUUCCAGGGAUCCUGGUCCUUGGAAGGAAAGCUAGGUCGCAAGAUCCGGCACUCGAGGAGGAGCCUGCGUCGCAUCAGCUAGUGGUGGGGUAACGGCCUACCAAGGCGAAGACGCGUAGCUGGUCUGAGAGGAUGAUCAGCCACACUGGGACUGAGACACGGCCCAGACUCCUACGGGAGGCAGCAGUGGGGAAUAUUGGACAAUGGGCGCAAGCCUGAUCCAGCCACGCCGCGUGAGUGAUGAAGGCCUCGGUCGUAA